This 230-nucleotide ribosomal RNA is filed under the name uncultured bacterium. RNAcentral's name for it is "partial 16S ribosomal RNA". It matches the Rfam family "Bacterial small subunit ribosomal RNA", at positions 562 to 791 of the family's 1533-position model. The record is from RNAcentral.
AAAGGGUGCGCAGGCGGAUAUAUAAGUUAGAUGUGAAAUACUCGAGCUCAACUUGAGAAUGGCAUUUAAGACUGUAUGUCUAGAGUUUGUCAGAGGGGGGUAGAAUUCCAAGUGUAGCAGUGAAAUGCGUAGAGAUUUGGAGGAAUACCGGUGGCGAAGGCGGCCCCCUGGGAUAGAACUGACGCUCAUGCACGAAAGCGUGGGUAGCAAACAGGAUUAGAUACCCGUGU